GUUUUUUUUUUAGCAUUGUAAAUAGCUUACUAUAGUUGAAUGUCUGGGGAAGCAAAGCAACACAGUCAGGGAGACAUUUAUAGUUUUAACCGUAACCGAAUGGGGACAUACAUCUGUAACAUGGCUCACUGCCUGACUACCUCAGGAUGACGUGUACAUACUUUACAACACAGGUCUCAGGUGUGAACAGGACUAUUGGGCCAAAAUGACCUCUUGCAGAGGGUGUUGGUUCAGCCCUCUUACUCAGAGUUAAACACACGCCAGCAUUUUGCACCAAAACCACGCAACUCAACCAAAAAAACAAACAAAAGAAAAGGACUUGACAUAGUGUGGCAUGUUUACCUUUCGUCUGGCUCUCAGUUUUCUGGCUGUCAUUGUGGUUUUAUAUCAUCCGCAUUCCACAAUGACACAGCUCUUUUAAACUGCAAACGCCUCUCACAGUUUUACUGUAACUCAGUGAAACACACCUCAGGAAUUUUAGCUGAGUCUUUAGCUCCACGUUAACAAAGCACGCCCGUCUGAGGAAAGGGUGGAAUUAAAAUAAUUGAACCAGCCUCCAUGUUUGUCUAACCUUUCAUUAAAUGGAAAUAUUGUAAGUUAUCCACGGCCGCAUUAUCUUUAUCGUUCUUAUCUAAAUUAGUGGAAAAGAUCAAUAGGCGCGCAAUAAAUAACGCAAUGAUAGAUUCAGAUGUACAAACAGUUUUAUGGUUGUCUUUUAGACUCUAUUCUAGCAACUGCACUUUUUUUUCUCUAUUCGUCAUUCCGUUUUUUAAUCUGCUUUCUGUAGCGUUUAGCCUUUGUUGCUUUGCGGCUUCUCUUCUGAUUUUUCUGUUCACCAUUUGCUGUUAUUAUAUGUUUGCCAUUUAUGAAAUUGUUGUCACUCAUAAUAAUCACCUGAGUGUAGCUGGACUUGAACUGAUUAGUGUAAAAUUUGAUUUGAACAAUAGUGUAAAUCAGAUAUGCUGAGUAACCACACUGUGUUUUCGAUGACUGUAAGCUUUGAGGGACAAUGACAAAACAAUCUUUUGCUUUCUCUUUCAAGCUGACUGCAGACUGCACAAGAAAUGCGCGAUAACUUAGUUUUCUUUUAAGUGAGCAAAAACAGCACCACGUGCACUGGAUGACUUCAACACUACACCAAGGUUUGUUAAUCGCAAUAUUAUCAGUCAUUCUCGCAGCUUACUCAGGGUGAAAGAAUGUAUGAAACUGGACGCAAAAGGUCAAGCAGGUUAAUUUGGCCAAAUUGAUUGAUUGGUUGGGAACUGACAAACGAUAAGUUCCAAGGGCUUAAAGAUGAGGAAAUCACCUUAAAGCAGGUGGUCUUUAGCCUGGGAAAGAUCUGCUGUUAUUCACAAAAUGUGAUUAAGUUCAAAAUCCAGUCAUUCUCGAGUGGCUGCACUUUUUUUUUUCUUUCUUUCUCUUUGUCUGCAGAAAUUGGACAGCUUGGAAAUGCACUGAAUGAGUCAUAUUUGUAUACGACCCCGGUUUAUAGCAAGUAAAGUUUAGGAUUUGUAUAAAAAUACAAAUGUAAUUCAUAUGAACUGUUUCACUUCUCAGUGACUAACUGGUAUGUGUGAGUCUUGAAGUAAAAGCAGCUGCAAUGUGCCUAACUUUACAAGAGGUGGCUCCACAUGAACAAUUCUUGGCAGUGACCACAGGGAGAAAAGCACUGUCAGAUCAUCAGACCAAGUCAUUUUUAUGAUCUCCAUACUUGUAACUGAAUUAUCAAACUUGUCACAUGAGAUUAAUUAAGGUAGCUGAUUGUGUGCUAAUAAAGUACAGAGCGAUCUGUUUUAAUCAGUGUGAAACGUUUUAUGUUUUUUAAAGCAGUUAUGAUGACAAAUUCAGCGUGUCUGUUGGUUUACCUCCACUGACUCCUUGGUAACCUUUUGUUGCUGUAACAUUUUAGCGCCGUGUCUCUUCGAUCUUCUCUUACUACCAGCUUCUCUCGCUCUUCCUGUCUCACAGAGAAUAUAUGGACAUUUUCUGUAGGUGGUUCUUUGGCAGAGCCCGAGAGCCACACAGAGCAUGCCUUAAUGUGCUCGUGUCUCCAAAUUCCAGAAAUCAAGAGUUAAAUCUGCCCCAUC
Molecule: long non-coding RNA, 2087 nt
Organism: Oreochromis aureus
Lineage: Eukaryota; Metazoa; Chordata; Actinopteri; Cichliformes; Cichlidae
Source: Ensembl